GGUGGCUCAAUGGUAGAGUGCUUGCCUUGCAUGCAUGAAGUUCUGGGUUUGAUUCCUCAGCACCA
RNAcentral lists this transfer RNA (65 nucleotides) under Dipodomys ordii (Ord's kangaroo rat). It matches the Rfam family "tRNA". Rfam says of the family: Transfer RNA (tRNA) molecules are approximately 80 nucleotides in length. The record is from Rfam by way of RNAcentral. Lineage: Eukaryota; Metazoa; Chordata; Mammalia; Rodentia; Heteromyidae.